Molecule: transfer RNA, 71 nt
Filed under: Hertwigia falcifera
Lineage: Eukaryota; Metazoa; Porifera; Hexactinellida; Lyssacinosida; Euplectellidae
Description: tRNA-Ala
Source: RNAcentral
GGGAUUUUAGUUUAAAUUGAAAACAAUAAUAUUGCUAAUUAAAAAUAUAGAAACUAUACCUAUAAAUUCCA